This 1298-nucleotide long non-coding RNA is filed under the name Anser brachyrhynchus (Pink-footed goose). RNAcentral's name for it is "lncRNA (ENSABRG00000004421.1)". The record is from RNAcentral. Lineage: Eukaryota; Metazoa; Chordata; Aves; Anseriformes; Anatidae.
UGCAGUGCCUGAUGAUAUGCCAGGGCUCCUAAUAGGGCAUGUCGUUUUGAGUGGAAAUAGGUCAUUGUGGAAGAAAUUUGUUAUACUUGAUAUCGUGCUUCUCUUCAGAGCCACAGGGGCGAGAAGCACUGAUUUUGGUAGGUAUCGUUAUGAUUUUUUUUUCAGCCGGAAACCUAAAUUGUUGUUUUUUUCCUUCUACUAUAAGGAAGGCACAAGACCCCUGAACGUCAAAGGUUGGAGCCUUCGCCUCUGCCCCCAGCCCAGCUCACAGUGGUGCCGUAUGCCCAUGAGGUCCUGAAGUGUUACGACCUAAUGUGUAACUUCAUCGUUUACUCAUGUAGCAGCACCGAGGUUACUGUGUAAGGACAUGAAACAGCCGCUUCCUAACGACACCGCACACCGGCGGGCACCUGCCCGGGGAGCCGCGGCCGCACCAACCCAAGCGUGAAAGCCGUGGUUCCUCCGAGCCUGGCACGCAGCACGACUGCUCAUCCCGUGUGUGAACGGGAUGCUUGGCCCUUGAGAAACGUGCUCCCUGCAUUGGGCUGGAACACAGGAGAUCAGCACCUGAAAAGCUGGGGUGGGGAGCCACCGUGACAAACCCUGUGUAGACCUGGAUGUGCCUGGGAGGUGCUGGCAGAUGGCGAGCGUGAAUGUGACUCUCUCCCUGCAGCCAAACGUGUUGGCUUGUGCAGAAAAAUGCAGACUCCUUGUGCUUGUAUGGUGUUUUAUACUUUUUAUGUAGUCGGUUUUAAGCAAUGGAGAGGCAUCUCCAUUAAAGAAAGGCUUCCUCUACUCUGUAUGCAAAACAAUACAGGAAAACUAAACGGGUGCACGGGAGAAGAUGGAAGCAAAACCAAUCCUUUAUCUCCUCUGCCAGCCAGCCCCCAGAAGCAACACUUGAGCUCUGCUCAUUACCUGAACUUGUGAGUGUCAUUGAUACCGAGAUAUUGUUUGCUUUUCUAAUCCCAGCAGGGGAUUAGCUUGAAGCACAAGGACCAGGAGUCUUCAUAAUGCUGGACCACGGCAGCAAAACUGCAGCUGAUGCUGUUAUUCAACUCGGUAACUGAGUCUUUGAGGAAUUAUUCUGCAUUAUUUGCUUCUCUUGUAUCGCAUGGCAGGAAGCGCCACAGGAUAAUUACUCACAUUAGAAAUGCUUCCUUUGGUCUGUUUUGAACAUUUCACGUUUCAUCUUCCCGGGUGCCGUGUGUCUGACGAGCAUCCCGUGGACUGCAGAGCAAUUUGGGGAUGAUACCGGGGAGGGGGCUCCAGAAGGAGCUGGGACAGCCCUAAAAUGC